UUUGGGAGGCCGCCCGGGGGAAUAUUUUUUCAAUGGGGGCAACCCUGAUUCUUCCCACANCCGCGUGUGUGAAGAAGGCCUUCGGGUUGUAAAACACUUUUAUCUUUGGANGAAAAGGUUUCGUUUUAUAACCGGCGNUGAUGACGGUACCCGAAGAAUAANCACCGGCUAAAUUCUGUGCCAGCAGCACGCGGUAAUAANGAAGGGUGCAAGCGUUAUUCUUGAAUUUUUGGGCGUAAAAAGUAGUGUAGGGGGUUUUCUAANUCUGAUGUGAAAACCCCGGGCUCAACCCCGGAAAGGCGNUGGAUACUGGUGAGCUAGAGUAGGGUAGAGGAGGAGUGGAAUU
RNAcentral lists this ribosomal RNA (346 nucleotides) under uncultured bacterium. RNAcentral describes it as "partial 16S ribosomal RNA". It matches the Rfam family "Bacterial small subunit ribosomal RNA", at positions 340 to 668 of the family's 1533-position model. The record is from RNAcentral.